GGAUCCAGACUUUGAUUAUGGCUCAGGAUGAACGCUAGCUACAGGCCUAACACAUGCAAGUCGAGGGGAAACGGCAGCUUAGCUUGCUAAGCUGGACGUCGACCGGCGCACGGGUGAGUAACGCGUAUCCAACCUGCCCCACGGUGAGGGAUAACCCGCGGAAACGCGGCCUAAUACCUCAUGGUCUCCGAGCUUGACAUCAACCUUGGAGUAAAGAUUCAUUGCCGUGGGAUGGGGAUGCGUCUGAUUAGCUUGUUGGCGGGGCAACGGCCCACCAAGGCAACGAUCAGUAGGGGUUCUGAGAGGAAAGCCCCCCACAUUGGAACUGAGACACGGUCCAAACUCCUACGGGAGGCAGCAGUGAGGAAUAUUGGUCAAUGGGCGAGAGCCUGAACCAGCCAAGUAGCGUGCAGGAAGACGGCCCUAUGGGUUGUAAACUGCUUUUAUGCGGGGAUAAAGGGGGCGACGUGUCGCCCUUUGCAGGUACCGCAUGAAUAAGGACCGGCUAAUUCCGUGCCAGCAGCCGCGGUAAUACGGAAGGUCCGGGCGUUAUCCGGAUUUAUUGGGUUUAAAGGGAGCGCAGGCCGGGUAUUAAGCGUGUUGUGAAAUGUAGGCGCCCAACGUCUGCACCGCAGCGCGAACUGGUGCCCUUGAGUACGCACGACGUUGGCGGAAUUCGCCGUGUAGCGGUGAAAUGCUUAGAUAUGGCGAAGAACUCCGAUUGCGAAGGCAGCUGACGGGAGCGCUACUGACGCUCAUGCUCGAAAGCGCGGGUAUCGAACAGGAUUAGAUACCCUGGUAGUCCGCGCGGUAAACGAUGGAUGCCCGCUAUUUGCGCAUUAGCGCAAGUGGCCAAGUGAAAACGUUAAGCAUCCCACCUGGGGAGUACGCCGGCAACGGUGCAACUCAAAUGAAUUGACGG
This 922-nucleotide ribosomal RNA is filed under the name uncultured Bacteroidota bacterium. RNAcentral's name for it is "bacterial SSU rRNA". It matches the Rfam family "Bacterial small subunit ribosomal RNA", at positions 1 to 916 of the family's 1533-position model. Lineage: Bacteria; Pseudomonadati; Bacteroidota. The record is from RNAcentral.